CUGGCGGAAUGCUUUACACAUGCAAGUCGAACGGUAGAGGGGGCAACCCCUUGAGAGUGGCGAACGGGUGAGUAAUGUAUCGGAACGUGCCCAGUCGUGGGGGAUAACGUAGUGAAAAUUACGCUAAUACCGCAUACGAUCUAUGGAUGAAAGCGGGGGAUCGCAAGACCUCGCGCGAUUGGAGCGGCCGAUAUCAGAUUAGGUAGUUGGUAGGGUAAAGGCCUACCAAGCCAACGAUCUGUAGCUGGUCUGAGAGGACGACCAGCCACACUGGAACUGAGACACGGUCCAGACUCCUACGGGAGGCAGCAGUGGGGAAUUUUGGACAAUGGGCGAAAGCCUGAUCCAGCCAUUCCGCGUGCAGGAUGAAGGCCCUCGGGUUGUAAACUGCUUUUGUACAGAACGAAAAGGUUUCUAUUAAUACUAGGAGCUCAUGACGGUACUGUAAGAAUAAGCACCGGCUAACUACGUGCCAGCAGCCGCGGUAAUACGUAGGGUGCAAGCGUUAAUCGGAAUUACUGGGCGUAAAGCGUGCGCAGGCGGUUAUAUAAGUCAGAUGUGAAAUCCCCGGGCUCAACCUGGGAACUGCAUUUGAGACUGUAUAGCUAGAGUACGGUAGAGGGGGAUGGAAUUCCGCGUGUAGCAGUGAAAUGCGUAGAUACGCGGAGGAACACCGAUGGCGAAGGCAAUCCCCUGGACCUGUACUGACGCUCAUGCACGAAAGCGUGGGGAGCAAACAGGAUUAGAUACCCUGGUAGUC
Molecule: ribosomal RNA, 760 nt
Filed under: uncultured beta proteobacterium
Lineage: Bacteria; Pseudomonadati; Pseudomonadota; Betaproteobacteria
Description: bacterial SSU rRNA
Rfam family: Bacterial small subunit ribosomal RNA
Source: RNAcentral